RNAcentral lists this small nucleolar RNA (110 nucleotides) under Saimiri boliviensis boliviensis (Bolivian squirrel monkey). RNAcentral describes it as "Small nucleolar RNA SNORA31 (ENSSBOG00000007134.1)". Lineage: Eukaryota; Metazoa; Chordata; Mammalia; Primates; Cebidae. The record is from RNAcentral.
CUGCUUUGAAGAACAGUCUGGCAGCUCCACCACAGAUGCAAGAAAAACAUGUCCUUGCACUUUCCGUCUGUCUAAUUGUGGCAGCUGAGAUUGAAUAGAGGAAUACAGGG